Molecule: long non-coding RNA, 1128 nt
Filed under: Canis lupus familiaris (dog)
Lineage: Eukaryota; Metazoa; Chordata; Mammalia; Carnivora; Canidae
Description: lncRNA (ENSCAFG00000054675.1)
Source: RNAcentral
AAAUAUCAUCUCUUUAUGAUACCCACUAAAAUAAAACUUGCAAGACAAGCACAUAGAGGAAAAAAUUAAAACCAGAGCAUUAAUAAAAAUAGAUUGAGGAUAUUUUAAUUCAAAUGUAUUUGCCUCUCUUUAAGUAUGACUUAAAUGCAACUGGUUUCUCAGCAAGUGUGGCCUUGGACAAGGCAUGUGAAGUGGCUACCUUGGCAAAUAUCAUUAAUUUCCAUGUUAUGGAAAACCCAUACACAAUUCUGUACAAUGGUUUGGAUACAGCUUAAGAGUGAACUUCAGACUGCUGAUUGCUUUAUCCGUGCACCCUGAAUUCCCAAUAAACCUGAGGGCAUCAAAUAGAAGAAAACAGUUCCAGUUGAAGAGGGUGAAAUCACCACCCCUCUUCCAGGCUAUAUAAAGGAAGAUGAAUUUAAUUGAAAGUUCAGCACCUACCAUAAAGGCAUUGUGGAAAUUUCUGAGGGUGCAAAGAUGAAAAAGACACAAGAAGCUCACAGUCUGCUGGAAGUGUCACACAAAUAAAAACUGUGUGAGAGAAAGGGGUACAAAAGCGUGUACUGGAUACCCUGAUAAUGGGGUACGUAAUCUAUCUGGAAGCCUGAGUCAUUAAAUAUCCUUUUGCUUCACAUUUUCACGCAGGACUACACAGGUCCUAUAGGACAGAGAGACCAAUACCUCCAUUUCUGUAUCCUUCACAACUCCAAAUAGCACUGUCCUUGGUAUGCAAAGUGAAUUCUCAAAGUUGAAGAGUAAAUGAAUAUGUUUCUUUUUAUUUUCAUUCUUGCAUUUGACAUUGCGAAUAACAGCAAAUACACAUAUUUUACUUACCAGAGAGCAGUCACUGAAAACCAUUUAAGUGCUUUACCUAUAUUAAUUAAUUUUAUAUUCACAUCAAUCCCAUAAUGUUGUCAUAAUUAUAUUAUACAUUGACAAAAUAUGCUGUCCCUUCCUAUCAGCCUUUUCCUAAUAGGUCCAUCCUUUCUGGAGAAUUAUAUUUCCUAUCCCAUUAUGCCAGGCACUUUGUGUAACUUGCUUCAUUGCCAAAGAAAAUAUGAGCAGAAGUGGCCUGGGCACUUAGAUGGCUUAAGAGCCAUUACAUAGCUCUGCUAACCUCUUUUUUCC